ACACAAUACCUGCUUUAUUUCUAAGAUGAACUAACUAAAACAGCCUGUUGAACCCUAUGCAGUAUGCAAGGAUAAGCAUUUCCAGAACAGCACCGUGUGUUCAUCUGCAAACUUCACAUUUUGGCAGAAUCCAUACUAAAACCUCCAAGUGCUGACUUAAAAUAAAUUAAAUUACACUGAACCUCCCAGAGUCCACCUUGAAACAAAGUCAUGUUUACAAGCUUCUGGACGGAGGCAGCGAGUGGUGUUGAGGAUGAAUUUCACCAGAUCACGGUGCAGAUUGAAGUUACAUGUUCUGUCAUGGAGGAAAACCUUUCUAUGUCUGCCUGAGGCCACACAGAUCAGCCUGAGAUUCAUGUUGAAGUUUAAUUCAUGCUCUGAAUUGAUAAACGUCCUCUCCGCUGCACACAUAGUCGUUGAAGUCCAAAAGCACCAUUGACGUACUCUGCUCGGGGUCAGACAGACUCGUCGUCUCAAUCUCACUCUAUUAACGCUUCAAGAUCGUGAUUACUAUUGACUUACAGGUCUUUAUGAGAGCGAUUUGGCCUUCUUCAGUGUCACAGUACUCUGAAAACCAGAGCUCGUUCUCAUGUGCUGACAGGCCUUUCUCAGCCGAUGGCAAUUAACUAAAGUAGGAUCAGCAGCUGUUUGGCCGGUGACAGAUAUAUUGGAGCGGCUUUGCUGUGUACAGAGAGUCUGUUGGAGAAGGGAUCUGUGCGGAAAGCUGUAUGUUCUCUGACUGGCUCAUGCAGGAUGUUCUGGGAAAGAGAUGGAUGGCAUUUAAAUCCACCUUUACUGGAAAACAGUCCAAGAUCUGCUUCCCAGAGUCUCCAGGAUGAAUGUUCCUCGAGUGUUUAACAGUGUUUCUCUCAUCUGUCUGCGAGCAGAUGUCCUGCUUCUAGAAUCUAAUGCACCAGUUUUGCCAGAGGUUAAAGAGGUCUGGUAAACGUGUUUCACAAAUGCAGUUCGUUGUUUUUAAUCAGUUAUGUAUGUUUUAUCACACAACUUCAGUAAAAAUCACAGAGCAAAUAACGUAAUCCUAUCUGGAUAAUCUAGUCUGUGAUUAUGUACUGUAAGUGUGUAUUUAUUUAAUCAUUUAUUUAUCUAUUUAUUUAUUUUAGUCAUUUAUUUAUUUAUUCACUUUAUUUUAGAUUAAAAUGCAGCUGUUUUUGAAAAGUAGAUUUUUGUAGAUUUUUCAGAUUCAUUUAUUUAAUCAGUUUAUUUUAGUUGUUUAUUUAAUUAGUAAGUCAAGUAUUUAUUAAUCUAAUUUAUUUAUUUAGUCAGGCAUUAAUUAAUUGAUUGAUUGAUUAAGUAAUUAAUAUAGUCACAUAUUUAUUUAGUUAGCCAUUUGUCUAUUAAUCUAUGCAUUGAGUAACUCGUUCAUUAAUUUAUUUAUUUAGUAAUGUAUUUAUCUAGUAAUUUAAUCAGUCAUUCAUUUUAUUUUUGUAUUUAGUCAUGUAUUUAUUCAGUCAUUUGUUAAUUAAUCUAUUUAUUCGCUUGUAAUUUGUAAUUUAAAUUCAUUCAUUCAUUCAUUCAUUUAUUCAGUUUGCUAGGUAAAAUAUGUAUUUCAGGUGCUGAAUAAAAUAAAAUGAAAUUAAAAUGAAGAUCAUAUGCUGCUGUUAGCCCUUCUGAUCAUCUAUAAAUACUCCAUAUUUAUUCCUUUCCUAAAAUAUUGUAAUUAUAUCAUCCACCUAAAGUGCAUUAAUAAUUAUAAAUCGAAGUUAUAAUUGUUUUUUUUUGUUAUUAUGUUUCUUUGGUGUUUUCUUCUGUUAGACAGACAUUUGCGUUCUCUCUCUGUCUCUUCUGUGAUCUGAUCUGAUGCUUCAAACCCACUAAUUGAGAACAUCAAGGAAGUAUCAUCUUUCAAGAACAAGACGAGCAUAAAAUAAAUCACAC
Long non-coding RNA from Cyprinus carpio carpio, 1896 nucleotides. Lineage: Eukaryota; Metazoa; Chordata; Actinopteri; Cypriniformes; Cyprinidae. The record is from Ensembl.